Molecule: unclassified non-coding RNA, 396 nt
Filed under: uncultured Glomeromycotina
Lineage: Eukaryota; Fungi; Glomeromycota
Description: sequence contains 28S rRNA gene
Source: RNAcentral
AGAGUUAAAUAGUACGUGAAAUUGUUGAAAGGGAAACGAUUGAAGUCAGUCAUACCGACGGGUAAUCAGCUCUUCGGAAGUGAUCAUAGUGGAGAUGGGAAGAUCUCACUCUGCUAUGUUCGUAUCUCUGGGGCGUACUUUCCUGUAUGGUAGGUUAACAUCAAUUUCGGUCGUCAUAAAAUGACGGGAGGAAUGUAGCUUUCUCGGAAGUGUUAUAGCCUCUGGUAGAUGUGAUGACCGGGAUUGAGGAUUGCAACGGAUACCCAUCUGGGCUACCCGUCUGAUCUCUGUUUGCCACCCUGGUGUUGAAAGCGUGCUUACGAUUUCAGGAAUGGUGGAUAAAAGGUUAGAACGGGUUAAAUUCGUUAAGGAUGUUGACGUAAUGACUUUAAACGA